GAUGAAGAACGUAGCGAAAUGCGAUAAGUAGUGUGAAUUGCAGAAUUCAGUGAAUCAUCGAAACUUUGAACGCACAUUGCGCCCUUUGGUAUUCCAAAGGGCAUGCCUGUUCGAGCGUCAUUUGUACCCUCAAGCUUUGCUUGGUGUUGGGCGUCUUGUCUCUAGCUUUGCUGGAGACUCGCCUUAAAGUAAUUGGCAGCCGGCCUACUGGUUUCGGAGCGCAGCACAAGUCGCACUCUCUAUCAGCAAAGGUCUAGCAUCCAUUAAGCCUUUUUUUCAACUUUUGACCUCGGAUCAGGUAGGGAUACCCGCUGAACUUAAGCAUAUCAAUAAGCGGAGGA
Molecule: unclassified non-coding RNA, 341 nt
Filed under: soil metagenome
Description: partial contains 5.8S ribosomal RNA, internal transcribed spacer 2, and large subunit ribosomal RNA
Rfam family: 5.8S ribosomal RNA (bases 1-120)
Source: RNAcentral